Molecule: long non-coding RNA, 346 nt
Filed under: Homo sapiens (human)
Lineage: Eukaryota; Metazoa; Chordata; Mammalia; Primates; Hominidae
Description: non-protein coding lnc-FAM120B-9:2
Source: RNAcentral
UGUGUGGUGGGAACUGUAUCUCCUACACCACAGGUGCCCAAUGGUCUGUGGAAUGAUUGCUAGCCAAGGCCAUCUUUUAAAUGAUUUCCCCACCAUGAACCAUGGAGGCUGAACUACAUCAAUGGGUCUCUCACCUGAAUGUAUGUGUGGGUCGCCUGGGGUUUCGCUAAGAUGCAGAUGCUGAUUCAGAAACUCCCGGUUGAGACCGAGGCUCUGCAUUGCUGACCAGGGCCCAGGUGACUCCAGGAUUGCUGUCCAGGUAAUGCCUUGGGACCAGAGCCAGGGGCCAGACAUUCUGUCCUGUCCUCCAGACCCAGCAUCCCACAGCAGGAGCACACAGCUGUGG